UACAGAGGUCUCGAGCGUUGUUCGGAUUCAUUGGGCGUAAAGGGUGCGUAGGUGGCGCUGUAAGUCGGGUGUGAAAUCCUGAGGCUUAACCUCGGAACUGCAUUCGAUACUGCGGCGCUUGAGGACUGGAGAGGAGACUGGAAUUCAUGGUGUAGCAGUGGAAUGCGUAGAGAUCAUGAGGAAGACCAGUGGCGAAGGCGGGUCUCUGGACAGUUCCUGACACUGAGGCACGAAGGCCAGGGGAGCAAACAGG
This 253-nucleotide ribosomal RNA is filed under the name uncultured bacterium. RNAcentral describes it as "partial 16S ribosomal RNA". It matches the Rfam family "Bacterial small subunit ribosomal RNA", at positions 524 to 776 of the family's 1533-position model. The record is from RNAcentral.